RNAcentral lists this ribosomal RNA (445 nucleotides) under uncultured bacterium. RNAcentral describes it as "partial 16S ribosomal RNA". It matches the Rfam family "Bacterial small subunit ribosomal RNA", at positions 354 to 796 of the family's 1533-position model. The record is from RNAcentral.
GUGAGGAAUAUUGCGCAAUGGAGGCAACUCUGACGCAGCCAUGCCGCGUGCAGGAAGAAGGCGCUACGCGUUGUAAACUGCUUUUAACCGGGAAGAAACCCCAGGACGUGUCCUGGGUUGACGGUACCGGAGGAAUAAGCACCGGCUAACUUCGUGCCAGCAGCCGCGGUAAUACGAAGGGUGCAAGCGUUAUCCGGAUUCAUUGGGUUUAAAGGGUGCGUAGGCGGAGCGUUAAGUCAGUGGUGAAGUCCUGCAGCGUAACUGUAGACUUGCCAUUGAUACUGGCGCUCUUGAGUGCGCUUGAAGUGGGCGGAAUGUGCCGUGUAGCGGUGAAAUGCUUAGAUAUGGCACAGAACACCAAUUGCGAAGGCAGCUCACUAAGGCGAUACUGACGCUGAGGCACGAAAGCGUGGGGAUCGAACAGGAUUAGAAACCCUAGUAGUCC